ACCUCACACGACUGUUGUGAACAAGAUAGUUAGAGAGCUUUGAGGUAGAAACUCGUUUAAGACUGAACAAAACGCAACUUUCUGUGCAAGUAAUCAUAUUUAAUUAUUUUCUUCCCCUUUUUAGAACAUUUCACCAUCGACAUAUCAACAUAAACGGUCCUCUUUUUCGAGUUUGACUGCGUUUGGUACAGGUCACAACAACAAUGGCAGAUGUAGAGACCACACUUUCCCUUGCUUCCACUCCACGGCUGAUCAUGCUUGGUCACAACAACAACGGCAGAUGUAGAGACCAUGCUUUCCCUUGCUUCCAUUCCACGGCUGUUCAUGCUUGAGGAUCCAGAUCUACAAAACAAAAAAUGGAUGCUGCCGAUUGAAGGCUAAGUCCGCUUUCCUGCGAUUGACCUACCAUUUCUUCAGCAUUUGCUGUUCACUUUGGUUGCUACUACGUGCUCAACAUCGAGUACCAAGUGGAAGCAGCCACUACUUUGGAGUUUAUUCAGAGAUUUAUUGUGAGGAUCAGCCCCGACAACAGCAAGUGCUCCUCUAACUUCCAGGUGAGCAAAAGAAGUGGAAAGAUGGUGCAAAGGAAGAACUCUGGCCUGAACCAUCAUGUAUAUAUCCACCUUUAUUAAGGACUUUAUGAAUUAAGCAAAACUAUUAAGCAACUAAAGCAAAUACAUUCUACUCAACUCACCAGAGACGGUUUCAUCGGACGCACAUGACACACGUCUGGAUCCGAACCUUACUUCCGGUUUCGCUUUUUUAAUGGUCUGACUAGUUGGUAAACUGAUUUCUUGAACAAAAGCCUCGUCGAAAAUAACAAAUGUUUUGGUUUCCGAGCUAAUCUAUGUGUUGUUUUUUUGCUUGUUAUAUAAAUAAAAUGCGUUUAAAGAACUUUGUUGUUUUUUAUUCUUAGCGGAGUUUAUCGGAAGUUCAUGCGAACCGUGACAGCCGCUUGUUUAUGUUGUUACUGAUGAAACCGUCUAUAGUUAUAACUGAAUUUGUACUAGUAUUAUUUGAUAAUACUGUGAAAUGAAACAGUGAGUAAAUGUAACAUUGGCUUUGAAAAAGCUGUUGCUGCAAGAAAUUACAAUUUACUCAGAAUAAUAUUUUGAAUGUAUAAGUUUUUGACAUUGCUUAUGACUACAUUUGAAUGUAUUGUUCAUUAAUUGAUGCUGUGAUAUGUGUGUGUAAAUGUUUUGUGUGUUACAGGAUAAAAGAUUUUAUUUUACUCAGGAAAGUAUUUUGUAUUUGAACAUUGUUAUUAUGACUGAGUUAGUUCAUGACUUGAUUUAAAAUUCUGUAAUAUGAUAUCUAUGAGUAAAUGUUAUUGCAGGUUUGAGAAAAACAGUUUGUGAUGCAAGCUGAAAGUUCAGUGUGCAAAAAUAUGAAAAUCUGAUUUCAUGUUUUUGAAAAACUAAAUUAAAUUUUAAAAACAUGUUGUCAUUGCUUAUUUUUGUGAUUUACUUAGAGCUGUUUUAACACCUCCAUUUAAAUUUUGUGCAGUUUUGUAGUAAAUAGAAAUGGGAAAAUGAAUCACAGGAAAUUUUACGGUAAAAUACACAUUGUAAUAUAUACAUUGUAGUAUAAAAUUAUUGUAUAUUUUACAGUAGAAAAUAUAAAAUACUGUAAAUACAGUUACAGCAUGUUAAACAAUACUGUAAAAUGUAUACAGUAUUUUAAAUAGUACUGUAAAUUUGUAUACAGUAUUUUAAAUAGUACUG
Misgurnus anguillicaudatus (oriental weatherfish) is the source of this 1724-nucleotide non-coding RNA. The record is from RefSeq and is a predicted model, not a curated record. NCBI's taxonomy places the organism in Eukaryota, Metazoa, Chordata, Actinopteri, Cypriniformes, Cobitidae.